UACGUAGGGUGCGAGCGUUGUCCGGAAUUAUUGGGCGUAAAGAGCUUGUAGGUGGCUCGUUGCGUCGGGAGUGAAAACCUGCGGCUUAACCGCAGGCCUGCUUCCGAUACGGGCGAGCUAGAGUUCGGCAGGGGAGACUGGAAUUCCUGGUGUAGCGGUGGAAUGCGCAGAUAUCAGGAGGAACACCGGUGGCGAAGGCGGGUCUCUGGGCCGAUACUGACACUGAGGAGCGAAAGCGUGGGGAGCGAACAGG
Molecule: ribosomal RNA, 253 nt
Filed under: uncultured bacterium
Lineage: Bacteria
Description: partial 16S ribosomal RNA
Rfam family: Bacterial small subunit ribosomal RNA
Source: RNAcentral